RNAcentral lists this ribosomal RNA (2904 nucleotides) under Escherichia coli. RNAcentral describes it as "23S ribosomal RNA". It matches the Rfam family "Bacterial large subunit ribosomal RNA". The record is from RNAcentral. Lineage: Bacteria; Pseudomonadati; Pseudomonadota; Gammaproteobacteria; Enterobacterales; Enterobacteriaceae.
GGUUAAGCGACUAAGCGUACACGGUGGAUGCCCUGGCAGUCAGAGGCGAUGAAGGACGUGCUAAUCUGCGAUAAGCGUCGGUGAGGUGAUAUGAACCGUUAUAACCGGCGAUUUCCGAAUGGGGAAACCCAGUGUGUUUCGACACACUAUCAUUAACUGAAUCCAUAGGUUAAUGAGGCGAACCGGGGGAACUGAAACAUCUAAGUACCCCGAGGAAAAGAAAUCAACCGAGAUUCCCCCAGUAGCGGCGAGCGAACGGGGAGGAGCCCAGAGCCUGAAUCAGUGUGUGUGUUAGUGGAAGCGUCUGGAAAGGCGCGCGAUACAGGGUGACAGCCCCGUACACAAAAAUGCACAUAUUGUGAGCUCGAUGAGUAGGGCGGGACACGUGGUAUCCUGUCUGAAUAUGGGGGGACCAUCCUCCAAGGCUAAAUACUCCUGACUGACCGAUAGUGAACCAGUACCGUGAGGGAAAGGCGAAAAGAACCCCGGCGAGGGGAGUGAAAAAGAACCUGAAACCGUGUACGUACAAGCAGUGGGAGCCUCUUAAUGGGGUGACUGCGUACCUUUUGUAUAAUGGGUCAGCGACUUAUAUUCUGUAGCAAGGUUAACCGAAUAGGGGAGCCGAAGGGAAACCGAGUCUUAACUGGGCGUUAAGUUGCAGGGUAUAGACCCGAAACCCGGUGAUCUAGCCAUGGGCAGGUUGAAGGUUGGGUAACACUAACUGGAGGACCGAACCGACUAAUGUUGAAAAAUUAGCGGAUGACUUGUGGCUGGGGGUGAAAGGCCAAUCAAACCGGGAGAUAGCUGGUUCUCCCCGAAAGCUAUUUAGGUAGCGCCUCGUGAAUUCAUCUCCGGGGGUAGAGCACUGUUUCGGCAAGGGGGUCAUCCCGACUUACCAACCCGAUGCAAACUGCGAAUACCGGAGAAUGUUAUCACGGGAGACACACGGCGGGUGCUAACGUCCGUCGUGAAGAGGGAAACAACCCAGACCGCCAGCUAAGGUCCCAAAGUCAUGGUUAAGUGGGAAACGAUGUGGGAAGGCCCAGACAGCCAGGAUGUUGGCUUAGAAGCAGCCAUCAUUUAAAGAAAGCGUAAUAGCUCACUGGUCGAGUCGGCCUGCGCGGAAGAUGUAACGGGGCUAAACCAUGCACCGAAGCUGCGGCAGCGACACUAUGUGUUGUUGGGUAGGGGAGCGUUCUGUAAGCCUGUGAAGGUGGCCUGUGAGGGUCGCUGGAGGUAUCAGAAGUGCGAAUGCUGACAUAAGUAACGAUAAAGCGGGUGAAAAGCCCGCUCGCCGGAAGACCAAGGGUUCCUGUCCAACGUUAAUCGGGGCAGGGUGAGUCGACCCCUAAGGCGAGGCCGAAAGGCGUAGUCGAUGGGAAACAGGUUAAUAUUCCUGUACUUGGUGUUACUGCGAAGGGGGGACGGAGAAGGCUAUGUUGGCCGGGCGACGGUUGUCCCGGUUUAAGCGUGUAGGCUGGUUUUCCAGGCAAAUCCGGAAAACCAAGGCUGAGGCGUGAUGACGAGGCACUACGGUGCUGAAGCGACAAAUGCCCUGCUUCCAGGAAAAGCCUCUAAGCAUCAGGUAACAUCAAAUCGUACCCCAAACCGACACAGGUGGUCAGGUAGAGAAUACCAAGGCGCUUGAGAGAACUCGGGUGAAGGAACUAGGCAAAAUGGUGCCGUAACUUCGGGAGAAGGCACGCUGAUAUGUAGGUGAAGCGACUUGCUCGUGGAGCUGAAAUCAGUCGAAGAUACCAGCUGGCUGCAACUGUUUAUUAAAAACACAGCACUGUGCAAACACGAAAGUGGACGUAUACGGUGUGACGCCUGCCCGGUGCCGGAAGGUUAAUUGAUGGGGUUAGCGGUAACGCGAAGCUCUUGAUCGAAGCCCCGGUAAACGGCGGCCGUAACUAUAACGGUCCUAAGGUAGCGAAAUUCCUUGUCGGGUAAGUUCCGACCUGCACGAAUGGCGUAAUGAUGGCCAGGCUGUCUCCACCCGAGACUCAGUGAAAUUGAACUCGCUGUGAAGAUGCAGUGUACCCGCGGCAAGACGGAAAGACCCCGUGAACCUUUACUAUAGCUUGACACUGAACAUUGAGCCUUGAUGUGUAGGAUAGGUGGGAGGCUUUGAAGUGUGGACGCCAGUCUGCAUGGAGCCGACCUUGAAAUACCACCCUUUAAUGUUUGAUGUUCUAACGUGGGCCCCUAAUCGGGGUUGCGGACAGUGUCUGGUGGGUAGUUUGACUGGGGCGGUCUCCUCCUAAAGAGUAACGGAGGAGCACGAAGGUUGGCUAAUCCUGGUCGGACAUCAGGAGGUUAGUGCAAUGGCAUAAGCCAGCUUGACUGCGAGCGUGACGGCGCGAGCAGGUGCGAAAGCAGGUCAUAGUGAUCCGGUGGUUCUGAAUGGAAGGGCCAUCGCUCAACGGAUAAAAGGUACUCCGGGGAUAACAGGCUGAUACCGCCCAAGAGUUCAUAUCGACGGCGGUGUUUGGCACCUCGAUGUCGGCUCAUCACAUCCUGGGGCUGAAGUAGGUCCCAAGGGUAUGGCUGUUCGCCAUUUAAAGUGGUACGCGAGCUGGGUUUAGAACGUCGUGAGACAGUUCGGUCCCUAUCUGCCGUGGGCGCUGGAGAACUGAGGGGGGCUGCUCCUAGUACGAGAGGACCGGAGUGGACGCAUCACUGGUGUUCGGGUUGUCAUGCCAAUGGCACUGCCCGGUAGCUAAAUGCGGAAGAGAUAAGUGCUGAAAGCAUCUAAGCACGAAACUUGCCCCGAGAUGAGUUCUCCCUGAGACUUAGAGUCUCCUGAAGGAACGUUGAAGACGACGACGUUGAUAGGCCGGGUGUGUAAGCGCAGCGAUGCGUUGAGCUAACCGGUACUAAUGAACCGUGAGGCUUAACCUU